UGGAGGAGGAUGUCUCCUGUGCGGAGGAGGUGAGUGUAUCCUCGGCGGCGGCGGCGAUGGAUGAGGAGGGGGCGGAGAUAGGGAGGGUGGUGGAGGCGGUGGUGAUGAAGGUGGUGGAGGCGGUGGAGAUGAAGGUGGUGGAGGCGGUGGAGAUGAAGUUGGUGGAGGCGGUGGAGAUGAAGGUGGUGGAGGCGGUGAAUUAGGAGGGGGCGGAGGUGGACUGGGAGGUGGAGGAGGUGGAGAGGGGAAUGGUGGCGGAGGCGGAGAUGAAAUAUUAAAUGAGGGAGGUGGCGGCGGACUAGAAGGAGGAGGGG
This 314-nucleotide long non-coding RNA is filed under the name Physcomitrium patens. RNAcentral describes it as "long non-coding RNA (PPAT_LNC001515)". Lineage: Eukaryota; Viridiplantae; Streptophyta; Bryopsida; Funariales; Funariaceae. The record is from RNAcentral.